CAUUCUGACUUGAAACCUCUCUUCUGAUCCAGGAACAACUAUCCUGAGCUGCUGUUCAUGAUUCAGGUUGGCAUCAAUCAAAUUGGAAGCACAUGAAUUAUACAUUAUUGUUUCUGAGCCACAGUUUUUUGUUUUUAUCUGCUAAAGACAUGAAGAAUGGGAACACUACCAUUGCAUCUCCCAGCCCCAGAGAAGGAUGUUCACUCCCAUGUUCUCACCUUUUCUUCAUCUUUAUUUGAUGGCUAUAACUUUGUCAUUCAUAUUUUUUAAAAAUCGUGGGUGGAUGUUUUGGAUUUUUUUAAGAUAUACAGUAAAUACCAACUUCUUAAAUUUUCCCUCGCUGCUUCCAGAGGAGGCUGGUAUAUUUUUUCUCUGUUCAACAACGAGAGAAGUAUCAAGUUUUAGUUAUCUUCUACAGCACAUCUUUUGAGUAAAGACAUGCAAGUAGUACUGAAACGACUGCAAUGUGAUAAUCACGGAGACUGGACUGGUUCAACAUCCAGAUGUUUCGAUUUUUUUGAUAAAUCAAUCUCCAAGGUUCAGCUCAUUCACAGUGUGAGGCUACUUACCUGUUCAAAGUACAUCACUUUUGUCCUCCAGUUUUCAUAUUGGCUUCCUGUCAAGGUUUGCAUUGAUUUUAAAGUUUUAUUGUUGACGUUUAAAGCACUUAAUGGCCUGAUACCUUCUUACAUUAAUGAUUUGCUUAUCCCUAUGGGACAAGAAUAAA
This 727-nucleotide long non-coding RNA is filed under the name Homo sapiens (human). RNAcentral describes it as "HSALNT0368696". The record is from RNAcentral. Lineage: Eukaryota; Metazoa; Chordata; Mammalia; Primates; Hominidae.